GAUGAAGAACGUAGUGAAAUGCGAUAAGUAAUGUGAAUUGCAGAAUUCAGUGAAUCAUCGAAUCUUUGAACGCACAUUGCGCCCGCCAGUAUUCUGGCGGGCAUGCCUGUUCGAGCGUCAUUUCAACCCUCAAGCCCCAGCGGCCUGGUGUUGGGGACCGGCGACCUCGCCCGAGCCCGCCCUCCGGGGCGCGUGCCCGGUGCGUCCGCCGCCCCCGAAAUGAAUUGGCGGCCUCGUCGCGGCCUCCUCUGCGUAGUAGCACAACCUCGCAAGCGGGAGCGCGACGCGGCCACUGCCGUAAAACGCCCGACCCCCAUGAGUUUGACCUCGGAUCAGGUAGGAAUACCCGCUGAACUUAAGCAUAUCAAUAAGCGGAGGA
This 379-nucleotide unclassified non-coding RNA is filed under the name soil metagenome. RNAcentral describes it as "partial contains 5.8S ribosomal RNA, internal transcribed spacer 2, and large subunit ribosomal RNA". The stretch from base 1 to 120 matches the Rfam family "5.8S ribosomal RNA", at positions 35 to 154 of the family's 154-position model. The record is from RNAcentral.